Molecule: microRNA precursor, 117 nt
Organism: Equus caballus (horse)
Lineage: Eukaryota; Metazoa; Chordata; Mammalia; Perissodactyla; Equidae
Source: Ensembl
GCGAUGAGCUCGCCUUGGGCAUUUCCCAUUAGUCUCCAGUAGAGGCUAGAAUCUGGAGAGAGUUCCCUGCUGGGGCUGUGGAGUCAGGUGGGCUUCUUGGGUUUGUCAACUUUCUCC